CCUACGGGCGGCAGCAGUGGGGGAUAUUGCACAAUGGGGGAAACCCUGAUGCAGCGACGCCGCGUGGGUGAAGAAGCGCCUCGGCGCGUAAAGCCCUGUCAGCAGGGAAGUAAAUGACGGUACCUGAAGAAGAAGCCCCGGCUAACUACGUGCCAGCAGCCGCGGUAAUACGUAGGGGGCAAGCGUUAUCCGGAUUUACUGGGUGUAAAGGGGGCGCAGACGGCGAUGCAAGCCAGGCGUGAAAGCCCGGGGCCCAACCCCGGGACUGCAUUGGAAACUGUAUGGCUGGAGUGCAGGAGGGGUCAGUGGAAUUCCUAGUGUAGCGGUGAAAUGCGUAGAUAUUAGGAGGAACACCAGUGGCGAAGGCGGGUGACUGGGCUGUAACUGACGUUGAGGCUCGAAAGCGUGGGGAGCAAACAGGAUUAGAUACCCCUGUAGUC
This 440-nucleotide ribosomal RNA is filed under the name uncultured bacterium. RNAcentral describes it as "partial 16S ribosomal RNA". It matches the Rfam family "Bacterial small subunit ribosomal RNA", at positions 338 to 795 of the family's 1533-position model. The record is from RNAcentral.